Perca fluviatilis (European perch) is the source of this 83-nucleotide non-coding RNA. NCBI's taxonomy places the organism in Eukaryota, Metazoa, Chordata, Actinopteri, Perciformes, Percidae. The record is from the annotation of a RefSeq genome assembly.
GUCAGGAUGGCCGGGCGGUCCAAGGCGUGCGUUAAGGUCGCCAGUCUCCACUGGAGGCGUGGGUUCAAAUCCCACUUCUGACA